AUACAGAGGUCCCAAGCGUUGUUCGGAUUCACUGGGCGUAAAGGGUGCGUAGGCGGUCGGGUAAGUCUGACGUGAAAUCCUGGAGCUUAACUCCGGAACUGCGUCGGAAACUAUUCGGCUAGAGGAUUGGAAGGGGGACUGGAAUUCUCGGUGUAGCAGUGAAAUGCGUAGAUAUCGAGAGGAACACCCGUGGCGAAGGCGAGUCCCUGGACAAUUCCUGACGCUGAGGCACGAAAGCUAGGGGAGC
RNAcentral lists this ribosomal RNA (247 nucleotides) under uncultured bacterium. RNAcentral describes it as "partial 16S ribosomal RNA". It matches the Rfam family "Bacterial small subunit ribosomal RNA", at positions 523 to 769 of the family's 1533-position model. The record is from RNAcentral.